Seriola aureovittata is the source of this 1427-nucleotide long non-coding RNA. RefSeq lists it as uncharacterized. The record is from RefSeq and is a predicted model, not a curated record. NCBI's taxonomy places the organism in Eukaryota, Metazoa, Chordata, Actinopteri, Carangiformes, Carangidae. The transcript has 5 exons.
GCCAUCUGGCAUACCGGGCAUCGUCCCGGUGGGCCGUUGACCCAAUGUGGGCCGGUCCGGUCCGCUAUGUUAUUUUGUUUUGUUUUUUUCCUCUAAAUUCCCUCCAAUUGGGCCGAUUGGCUACAGAGGGCUAGCAGUGUGUUGCCAGCAUCGACACAUAUUAUUGGUCUAUUGUUUGUCAUUGUCAAUCAAUCAUGGGCUGACAGGCUCAGAGAGCCCUGACAGUGCUGUCAAUCACAACACAAACCAGGGUGGGCGGGACCUCAUGGCAUGGGCGGGAGUCGCGGGACGGGCUGCUGCUGAGCUGAAGAUGGAUAAGCGGAAGAAACGCCCGGGUGGCGCUGAAAAACUGCGACUUAAAAAGCUGAAGUCUCUGGAGGUGGAGGCUGCUAAAUAUUCUAAACUGACGGACCUAUUUGGUGCCGGGGUCACCGGUCCAGCAGGUGCUGCUGCUCCGGGAGACGAGCGAGUGGAGACAUAUAUGAUGAUUUAGCUAAGAGCUGCUAACAUCAGCAGUCUCUUGUUGCCAUAGCAACAGUAAACAUUCACAUGGACCAAUGAGCUGUUGACCACCCUAUAUAUGAGAGCCUAAGGAGUUGUUUUCCCUCUGUCCCCUUUUGAGGACCUCCUUUGUCUCCUCCAUCAUUCACUGGGCCACUUUUGGGUUCCUGAGCUCAUUUCAUGUGGUUUUCCUGACCUGCUGGAAGUUCUUCUAUGAUGCUUGAGUCAUCCAUCAUAUCUGAGAGCUUCGUCUUGACUUUGUCAUGAAUUUGGUGAGGAGCGAAGCUGGCUGGCUGCGGACGAGGAAGUAGGGCAAUACAUACUUGUGCACAUACACGUAUAUGAGAAUGCAUAUCUAUUCAGACCUGUAACCCAUGUCUUAGACUUUUUCACACAGCUAUAUAUAUAUAUUUUUUUCCAAUUCUCUAUUUAUGGUUUCAUAAUGACUGAGUCACCGUUGAGUGAGUGAGUUUCAGCUCUAAUGCUGCUACUGUCUGUAAUAUGUUUCUAUUUAGAUUAUUUGUCAGGAUAUUUUUUUGUUAUUAUUGUCCGAGUCUGGUUUUAACUAAUGCUGGGCUUACACCAAAAGAUUUUCACAGUCACAGACUAAAAACUGAAAGGGUAGCAUAAAGGUUCUUCCCGUUAGUCUCGUCCCACCCCUAGUCAUGACAUAACUUCUGUUAUGAUUUGACACUAUAAUGAAUAAAGAUUGAUUGAUUGAUUGCUAUAGCUGUCAAUUUUAGUCCUUGAGUUCAUAGUUAAGUGCUUUAUUUGUUAACUGCUAUCAAGGAGUAUGACUCUCCUUUGUAGUAUGCAUGAGAGAAGAUGCCGCGAGAUUAGUGGACUUCUAUGUAGUGUCCGCUGAUAAUGUAGUGGGCUGGUCUGGACAGAAAAUGCCAGGGCUGAAUUUUUGUCCCAGUCCACCC